RNAcentral lists this unclassified non-coding RNA (232 nucleotides) under soil metagenome. RNAcentral's name for it is "partial internal transcribed spacer 1". The record is from RNAcentral.
UCGAAUUUUAAUGAAGAGUUUGGUUGUAGCUGGCCCAUUCAUUUGGGCAUGUGCACACCUUCCUCUUUCAUCCCACACACACCUGUGAACCUGUGAGACAGAGAUGGGGAAUUUACUUGCUGCUUUUUGGAAUACAAAGGCAAUAGGUUAUUGGACCCCCCCUCUGUCUACUCAGUUAAUAUAAACUCAAUUUAUUUUAAAACGAAUGUAAUGGAUGUAACACAUCUCAUAC